Molecule: ribosomal RNA, 795 nt
Filed under: uncultured Atopobium sp.
Lineage: Bacteria; Bacillati; Actinomycetota; Coriobacteriia; Coriobacteriales; Atopobiaceae
Description: bacterial SSU rRNA
Rfam family: Bacterial small subunit ribosomal RNA
Source: RNAcentral
GAUUAAAGCACCUUCGGGUGUGUAUAAAGUGGCGAACGGCUGAGUAACACGUGGGCAACCUGCCCCUCUCAUUGGGAUAGCCACGGGAAACCGUGGAUAAUACCGAAUACUUCGAGACUCCCGCAUGGAAGACUCGAGAAAGCUCCGGCGGAGAGGGAUGGGCCCGCGGCCUGUUAGCUUGUUGGUGGGGUAACGGCCUACCAAGGCAAUGAUGGGUAGCUGGGUUGAGAGACCGACCAGCCAGAUUGGGACUGAGACACGGCCCAGACUCCUACGGGAGGCAGCAGUGGGGAAUCUUGCACAAUGGGCGAAAGCCUGAUGCAGCGACGCCGCGUGCGGGAUGAAGGCCCUCGGGUUGUAAACCGCUUUCAGCAGGGACGAGGCGAAAGUGACGGUACCUGCAGAAGAAGCCCCGGCUAACUACGUGCCAGCAGCCGCGGUAAUACGUAGGGGGCAAGCGUUAUCCGGAUUCAUUGGGCGUAAAGCGCUCGUAGGCGGUCUGUUAGGUCGGGAGUUAAAUCCGGGGGCUCAACCCCCGUUCGCUCCCGAUACCGGCAGACUUGAGUUUGGUAGGGGAAGGUGGAAUUCCUAGUGUAGUGGUGGAAUGCGCAGAUAUUAGGAAGAACACCAGUGGCGAAGGCGGCCUUCUGGGCCAUAACUGACGCUGAGGAGCGAAAGCUAGGGGAGCAAACAGGACUAGAUACCCUGGUAGUCCUAGCCGUAAACGAUGGACACUAGGUGUGGGGGAAUAUUUCCUCCGCGCCGCAGCUAACGCAUUAAGUGUCCCGCCUGGGG